GACGAACGCUGGCGGCGUGCUUAACACAUGCAAGUCGAACGGAAAGGCCCUGCUUUUGUGGGGUGCUCGAGUGGCGAACGGGUGAGUAACACGUGAGUAACCUGCCCUUGACUUUGGGAUAACUUCAGGAAACUGGGGCGAAUACCGGAUAGGAGCUCCUGCUGCAUGGUGUGGGUUGGAAAGUGUCGGCGGUUGGGGAUGGACUCGCGGCUUAUCAGCUUGUUGGUGGGGUAGUGGCUUACCAAGGCUUUGACGGGUAGCCGGCCUGAGAGGGUGAACGGCCACAUUGGGACUGAGAGACGGACCAGAAGCGAACGGGAGGCAGUAGGGGGGAGCAUUGCACAACGGGCGGAAGCCUGAUGCAGCAACGCCGCGUGCGGGAUGACGGGCUACGGGUUGUAAACAGCUUUCGCAUGUGCCGAAGAGUGAGUGACGGUAAUGGGUCAAGAAGCCCCGGCUAACUACGUG
Molecule: ribosomal RNA, 468 nt
Filed under: uncultured bacterium
Lineage: Bacteria
Description: partial 16S ribosomal RNA
Rfam family: Bacterial small subunit ribosomal RNA
Source: RNAcentral